CCUGCCUCAGCCUCCCGAGUAGCUGGGAUUACAGGCGUGCACCACCAUGCCUGGCUAAUUUUGUAUUUUUAGUAGAGAUGGGGUUUCUGCAUGGUGGUCAGGCUGGUCUCGAACUCCCCAUCUCAAAUGAUCCGCCCACCUCGGCCUCCUAAAGUGCUGGGAUUACAGGCAUGAGCCACCGUGCCCGGCCCGAGAGUAGAUCGUAAGUCACUUUACCACAUACACAAACAAUAACAACUAAAUGUGAUGACAGAUGUGUUAAUUUGGUUGUGGGAAUUGUUGCAAAAUGUAUAUCAAAUCAAGUUUCAUGCAUUAAAUAUGAAUACCUUUUUGCUAAUUAUGCCUAAAUAAAGCUGGGAAAAAUUGGUUGGUGAGUACAUGUAGUUCAGCUGUAUCAUUUUGUGUACUUUCAGUGUACUUAAAACACUUGAACAUUAAAAAUAAAAUAAUGGGCUUGGUGCGGUGGCUCACGCCUAUAAUCCCAGCAAUUUGGGAGGCCGAGGCGGGCAGAUCACCUGAGGUUGGGAGUU
This 530-nucleotide long non-coding RNA is filed under the name Homo sapiens (human). RNAcentral describes it as "HSALNT0407220". Lineage: Eukaryota; Metazoa; Chordata; Mammalia; Primates; Hominidae. The record is from RNAcentral.